CACACACCAGGAGCUUUCAGCUUCACACUAGAGGACCCUGGCUAGGACGACCUCACCUCAGUUUGCUGUGAGGCAGCAGUGCUAACAGCGACACCAUCAUGUCACCUUGCAGUGGUCACCUGUUCAGGUGUAUUUUCUCUAUGUACUGCACAGCACGGGACUACACGUCUAAUGUUCAUUUGACUCCAGUAGUAUUUCCUUGAAGACAAGGAGGGAGAAGAUGAAGAAAGUAUUUCUGAAAUCCCACAGCCACACAAAUAAUGGGCUGUGGGUCUCUAUCUUAAACAAAGGCCCUGAGGGGGUUCGUCGUGCCCGGGUUCUACGGCGGAUCCCCUAUGAAGCUUCCCCAAAGCAACUAUGCGUUCAAAAUCGAUCAAUACAAUAAUCCGUAACCAAUAAACUAUCUGUCAAAUCUCA
Molecule: long non-coding RNA, 417 nt
Organism: Notolabrus celidotus (New Zealand spotty)
Lineage: Eukaryota; Metazoa; Chordata; Actinopteri; Labriformes; Labridae
Exons: 3
Source: RefSeq, a predicted model, not a curated record